AUAGUCAAAUUAAUUAAAUUAUGGACUACCCAAAAUAAUUAAAUGUAGGGCUAGUUCUUAAAAUUUCGCAGCCCAAGCAAUUAAAAUAAAGGCCCAAACUAUUAAAAUAAACUUAGCUCAAAUCAUUUAAAAGAUGAGGCCCAAACAUUUUAAUAAAAGAAAUCGGCCCAAGCCCGGCCCAAAACUCAAGCCCAAACCUCUAGCACUAAACCCUUUUAUCCUUCUCUUCAAUCACAUCCGCCGCUCACAUACACACGCGGCACGCCUUGUCUCUCCCUUUCUCUCUUCGGUUCAGGCAGUCCGCCUCUUCUCCCUCAAAAUUCCGCCGCCGCGGCUCCUCCUCCGGCGAGAAACCGACGACCGAUCCUCUCCCUCUACCCCAUCUUCUUCUCCCUAGUUUUCCCUCUACCUACACAAACAUACGCACCCAGCGGCUGCGCCGCCCAGCCCUCUCUCCUUCACGCAGCAGGAGCAACCGCCGCGGAGCGCCGCUGCCUCCGGCGUCCUCGCAGCAGAUCCGCCGUCGCCUCCCUCGGUUUCUCUCUCGGCGACAACAGCCCAUGGCUGCCGCCGUCCUGAUCCCGACAAGACUCAUCCCAGCCAGACCAGACCACCUCUCUCUCUCUCCAGCCGUGGCCGGGCAGCAGCGGCACCGCCGCCGUGCCCUGCCUCCCUCCGCUGAAGCCCAACCUCCCAUCUCUUUCUUCUCUUCUUCCCCUAGCUGCGCCCCCAACAUCUCUCUAUUUCCCUCUCAACAAUCAAACACACGCGCACGGACAUGGCAUAAGCCACGCCGCCGCCGGAUACAGGACAGCAAACGCCCCACCGCGGUGCGCCGCCGCCUGCUCCUUCUUUUCCGACAAACAGCCGAAGCUUCCUCCGUCUCCGCCCCGCCCGAAAUCGAUCGGAAACGACGACAGGUUCACCGCCGCCGCUCCGUUGCCGACGACGAGCCACCGAGGCUGUCAUUUCCCGACCUCGACUCACACACAAAACAGGGGUGUCAAACAUAGGGUUUUCAUGUGCAAAAUCACUUUACAACUGUAAUACUCAAUAUAAAGUCUUUUAUUCAUCUGUAAUUUCAUUUCACAUAUAACAUAUCUUGUAAACAUAUAGUGAAACGUCAAGUAACUGUGUGUGUUGGGAUUCUGUGUUGGUGAUUUGGAGAAUUAAACAAAAGGGGAUAAUACCUUGAGUAGACGGUGUGGGAUGUUUGUUUCU
Salvia miltiorrhiza (redroot sage) is the source of this 1221-nucleotide long non-coding RNA. RefSeq lists it as uncharacterized. NCBI's taxonomy places the organism in Eukaryota, Viridiplantae, Streptophyta, Magnoliopsida, Lamiales, Lamiaceae. The transcript has 2 exons. The record is from RefSeq and is a predicted model, not a curated record.